GACGAACGCUGGCGGCGUGCUUAACGCAUGCAAGUCGAACGGAAAGGCCCUGCUUGCAGGGUACUCGAGUGGCGAACGGGUGAGUAACACGUGGGUGAUCUGCCCUGCACUUCGGGAUAAGCCUGGGAAACUGGGUCUAAUACCGGAUAGGAGCCAUUUUUAGUGUGAUGGUUGGAAAGUUUUUUCGGUGUAGGAUGAGCUCGCGGCCUAUCAGCUUGUUGGUGGGGUAAUGGCCUACCAAGGCGGCGACGGGUAGCCGGCCUGAGAGGGUGGACGGCCACAUUGGGACUGAGAUACGGCCCAGACUCCUACGGGAGGCAGCAGGGGGGAAUAUUGCACAAUGGGCGCAAGCCUGAUGCAGCGACGCCGCGUGGGGGAUGACGGCCUUCGGGUUGUAAACUCCUUUCGCUAGGGACGAAGCUUUUUGUGACGGUACCUAGAUAAGAAGCACCGGCUAACUACGUG
This 465-nucleotide ribosomal RNA is filed under the name uncultured bacterium. RNAcentral describes it as "partial 16S ribosomal RNA". It matches the Rfam family "Bacterial small subunit ribosomal RNA", at positions 28 to 507 of the family's 1533-position model. The record is from RNAcentral.